UACAGAGGGGGCAAGCGUUGUUCGGAAUUACUGGGCGUAAAGGGCGCGUAGGCGGCUUAUCAAGUCAGGCGUGAAAUUCCCGGGCUCAACCUGGGGGCUGCGCUUGAUACUGAUGAGCUUGAAUGCGGGAGAGGAUAGUGGAAUUCCCAGUGUAGAGGUGAAAUUCGUAGAUAUUGGGAAGAACACCGGUGGCGAAGGCGGCUAUCUGGCCCGUAAUUGACGCUGAGGCGCGAAAGCGUGGGGAGCAAACAGG
Molecule: ribosomal RNA, 253 nt
Filed under: uncultured bacterium
Lineage: Bacteria
Description: partial 16S ribosomal RNA
Rfam family: Bacterial small subunit ribosomal RNA
Source: RNAcentral